Molecule: long non-coding RNA, 610 nt
Organism: Oreochromis niloticus (Nile tilapia)
Lineage: Eukaryota; Metazoa; Chordata; Actinopteri; Cichliformes; Cichlidae
Exons: 3
Source: RefSeq, a predicted model, not a curated record
CCAGGUCAUUGUUUGAGUAUGGGAUUUCUGAUUAUUUGAUAGUCACUGAACGCACCACUGUGCCUUGCGCAUAGCCACUCCCUAGUUUAGCCACAGAGUUUUUCCUCCGUUCGUCCGAUGAGGCGCAUGCUGCUCUCGUGCCCUCUGCGAGCUGGAAAUUCGGGAAAAGGAGUCUUGUAGCUGUUACGAACGUGAAGCCGAGCUGAAUCCGACAGCCAUUCGCCAUUACAUGAACCCCUCUGGCUGGUUUGUUUGCCCUUUCGAUACCCUGGAUCCUACUGGAUAAACUGCCUUGUGGAAGUCCUCAUCUGAUGACUCCGCUGAGCCGUCCUGGCUAGUAGAUGGUCUUUGCUGAGGACGGAUGCUUCUGUUGCUGGAUGCUAUUAUUGGAUGCUACCCCGUUCCAACAGAGCGGUAGGAACAAUUUAAAGGGCCCCAACAGUGCACUUUACUUUUCCCUGAGCUCAGGUGGUUUUCUUUUGGCCAAAGGACCUUGAAGGAUACAUAUUUGUGUUUAUUUUGUUUUUUUCCUUGGGACACUGAGUGGAAAGACACUACGAAAAAAGGCCUUAUUAUUUAAAAUUGUGUUUAAUAAAUGUGUUUAUGUUAA